AGCCUCCACCCUGAAAUUGUAUAAGUGUUUAAUGAGUAACUCUGGAACCUGCAGCGACACUGUAGAAUGUCCUCAACAGGAUCAACAGUGUGGUGCGAUGAGAGUCGUGUCAUAUGCAGGAGGUUCAAAACUCGCUGAUCUUACCUCAAAAGGCUGUGUGCUGCCUGCAGAGUGUGUCAAAGGAUCAGUGAACUUUGGAAUUGCAAAGACUGAAUUUACCAGCAGGUGCUGCACCACCGAUCUCUGCAACACUCAAGCUGCCCCGGAUGUCGGCCAAUCCUCCCAAAAUGGAAAGAAAUGCUUCUACUGUGAUGGACAAUCGUGCACUGCAACUCUGAACUGUGUGGGGACGAGGACCACUGCAUCUCAGCAACAGUGGAUACAGGAGGGAAAGGCCGUGACAGUGAAGGGCUGUGCUUCCAAGACGUAUGUUCAAGUGUCCAAUAUGCUCAGACAAUGGGAGGCCUUGGAAAGGACAUCAGCUGCUGCCAGGGCGACUUCUGCAACAGUGCCACCAGUACAACUGCUGGCAUUCUGCUGUUGGUGGCACCGGUGGUCUCUGUGGUCUUGUUUUCUUAGCUUUGCUUCUCAUCUGUGCACAACCUCAUAGUGCUUAAACCGG
Long non-coding RNA from Acanthochromis polyacanthus (spiny chromis), 622 nucleotides. RefSeq lists it as uncharacterized. The transcript is spliced from 4 exons. NCBI's taxonomy places the organism in Eukaryota, Metazoa, Chordata, Actinopteri, Pomacentridae. The record is from RefSeq and is a predicted model, not a curated record.